GGGGGUGUAGUUCAGUGGUAGAGCAUCUGCUUUGCAUGCAGAAUGUCCCAGGUUCGAUCCUGGGCAUCACCA
Non-coding RNA from Lacerta agilis (Sand lizard), 72 nucleotides. NCBI's taxonomy places the organism in Eukaryota, Metazoa, Chordata, Lepidosauria, Squamata, Lacertidae. The record is from the annotation of a RefSeq genome assembly.